RNAcentral lists this transfer RNA (74 nucleotides) under Pedosphaera sp. Its description in RNAcentral is "tRNA-Gln". It matches the Rfam family "tRNA". From Rfam's summary of the family: Transfer RNA (tRNA) molecules are approximately 80 nucleotides in length. Their secondary structure includes four short double-helical elements and three loops (D, anti-codon, and T loops). The record is from RNAcentral. RNAcentral also lists the same sequence under 1 other name. Lineage: Bacteria; Pseudomonadati; Verrucomicrobiota; Pedosphaerae; Pedosphaerales; Pedosphaeraceae.
UGGCCGAUGGUGUAAUGGUAGCACAGGGGCCUUUGACGCCCUUAGUCAUGGUUCGAAUCCAUGUUGGCCAACCA